GACGAACGCUGGCGGCGUGCUUAACACAUGCAAGUCGAACGGUGAAGGGACCGGUUUUUGCUGGUUCUGGAUGAGUGGCGAACGGGUGAGUAACACGUGAGUAACCUGCCCCCUUCUUCUGGAUAACCGCAUGAAAGUGUGGCUAAUACGGGAUAUUCUGCGCCUGCUGCAUGGUGGGUGUGGGAAAGAUAUUGUUUCGGUGGGGGAUGGGCUCGCGGCCUAUCAGCUUGUUGGUGGGGUGAUGGCCUACCAAGGCGGUGACGGGUAGCCGGCCUGAGAGGGUGGACGGUCACACUGGGACUGAGACACGGCCCAGACUCCUACGGGAGGCAGCAGCGGGGAAUAUUGCACAAUGGGCGCAAGCCUGAUGCAGCGACGCCGCGUGAGGGAUGGAGGCCUGCGGGUUGUAAACCUCUUUCGCCAGUGAAGCAGGCCUGUCCCUUGUGUGGGUGGGUUGACGGUAGCUGGAGAAGAAGCGCCGGCUAACUACGUG
RNAcentral lists this ribosomal RNA (493 nucleotides) under uncultured bacterium. Its description in RNAcentral is "partial 16S ribosomal RNA". It matches the Rfam family "Bacterial small subunit ribosomal RNA", at positions 28 to 507 of the family's 1533-position model. The record is from RNAcentral.